RNAcentral lists this ribosomal RNA (486 nucleotides) under uncultured bacterium. RNAcentral describes it as "partial 16S ribosomal RNA". It matches the Rfam family "Bacterial small subunit ribosomal RNA", at positions 30 to 507 of the family's 1533-position model. The record is from RNAcentral.
AUUGAACGCUGGCGGCAUGCCUUACACAUGCAAGUCGAACGGCAGCACGGGUUCUUGCACCUGGUGGCGAGUGGCGAACGGGUGAGUAAUACAUCGGAACAUGUCCUGUAGUGGGGGAUAGCCCGGCGAAAGCCGGAUUAAUACCGCAUACUAUCUACUGAUGAAAGCGGGGGUCCUUCUGGCCUCGCCCUAUAGGGUUGGCCGAUGGCUGAUUAGCUAGUUGGUGGGGUAAAGGCCUACCAAGGCGACGAUCAGUAGCUGGUCUGAGAGGACGACCAGCCACACUGGGACUGAGACACGGCCCAGACUCCUACGGGAGGCAGCAGUGGGGAAUUUUGGACAAUGGGCGAAAGCCUGAUCCAGCAAUGCCGCGUGUGUGAAGAAGGCCUUCGGGUUGUAAAGCACUUUUGUCCGGAAAGAAAUCCUUGGCCCUAAUACGGUCGGGGAAUGACGGUACCGGAAGAAUAAGCACCGGCUAACUACGUG